GAGAUGCGAUAAGUAAUGUGAAUUGCAGAAUUCAGUGAAUCAUCGAAUCUUUGAACGCACAUUGCGCCCACCAGCACUCUGGCGGGCCUGCCUGUUCGAUCGACAUUUCAACCAUCAAACCCCCCGGGUUUGUGCUGGGGCUCUGCAGCUAACCGCAGGCCCUGAAAACCAGUGGCGGGCCCGCCGCCGUGCCCGAGCGUAGUAGAUCUAUCCUCUAGCUCCGGGUGCGUAGCGGGCUUCCCCGCCGUUAAACCUACCAUCAAGCAAGGUUGACCUCGGAUAAGGUAGGAAUACCCGCUGACCUUAA
This 307-nucleotide unclassified non-coding RNA is filed under the name uncultured Cladorrhinum. RNAcentral's name for it is "sequence contains ITS1". The stretch from base 1 to 105 matches the Rfam family "5.8S ribosomal RNA", at positions 50 to 154 of the family's 154-position model. Lineage: Eukaryota; Fungi; Ascomycota; Sordariomycetes; Sordariales; Lasiosphaeriaceae. The record is from RNAcentral.